GUCCCUGUAGCACAAUGGGUAGUGCGUUGGACUUAUGAUCCAAAGGUCGUGGGCUCGAAUCCCGCCUGGGAUG
This 73-nucleotide transfer RNA is filed under the name Trichonephila inaurata madagascariensis. It matches the Rfam family "tRNA". From Rfam's summary of the family: Transfer RNA (tRNA) molecules are approximately 80 nucleotides in length. Lineage: Eukaryota; Metazoa; Arthropoda; Arachnida; Araneae; Nephilidae. The record is from Rfam by way of RNAcentral.